Molecule: long non-coding RNA, 477 nt
Filed under: Arachis ipaensis
Lineage: Eukaryota; Viridiplantae; Streptophyta; Magnoliopsida; Fabales; Fabaceae
Description: long non-coding RNA (AIPA_LNC001943)
Source: RNAcentral
ACUUUUGUUGCAUUCUAUUACUAAUUUUCUAUUUGUUACAUGCUCCCUUGGUUAGUUUUUAUGCGACUUUUUAUACUUGUUCUGUGUUUGGAUACACUAUCUGAAGAUACCAAAAAAAUAACUUGUACAAAUAAAAUUAAAAUUGCUGUUGCUUCAUUAUCAGGAUCUAUAAGUGAGUAAGUUUGUUUAGUUAUAGAGUUUGUUAUAACUAAAGUUUACUUAGUCUAAAUCUGUUUUGCUACCUGUAAUUGGACUGCAUUAGGCUCAAUUGCAGUGAGAAUUACUCUCUGUAUAUAUAGGAUAUCAGUGUAUCAUGUGACCAGUGAAUGAAAUCAUAAUUUCUCUAAUUCAUUCACUUUCUUGCAAUGCAUGUUUUCUCCAAUUUUCUUUCUCUAUUUCAUUCUUCUGCUGCGCUUGAAGCUCUUUGAGCUGAAUUCAUGUCAUUGUUGAAUAUAGUUCAUAUCUGGUUUGUUGUCA